Molecule: ribosomal RNA, 373 nt
Filed under: Echis pyramidum (carpet viper)
Lineage: Eukaryota; Metazoa; Chordata; Lepidosauria; Squamata; Viperidae
Description: partial 12S ribosomal RNA
Source: RNAcentral
UUGUUCGCCAAACAACUACGAGUAGUAACUUAAAACUUAAAAGACUUGACGGUGCCUCACUACAACCUAGAGGAGCCUGUGCAAUAACCGAUAACCCACGUUUAACCCAGCCCCGUCUUGCCAACAGUCUAUAUACCACCGUCGCAAGCUUACCUUGUGAAAGCUAUAAAGUAAGCUAAAUAACCCCCAUUAAGACGACAGGUCGAGGUGUAACUAAUGACAGGGAUUACCAUGGGCUACACUCUUCUCCCAAGCACGGACAAUACAAUGAAAAAGUAUUCAAAGAAGGAUUUAGCAGUAAGACCGGAAUAAAAUGCCGACCUGAACACAAUGCAAUGAGGCGCGUACACACCGCCCGUCACCCCUGACACCC